Molecule: ribosomal RNA, 497 nt
Filed under: uncultured bacterium
Lineage: Bacteria
Description: partial 16S ribosomal RNA
Rfam family: Bacterial small subunit ribosomal RNA
Source: RNAcentral
GAUGAACGCUGGCGGCGUGCCUAAUACAUGCAAGUCGAGCGAACAGACGAGGAGCUUGCUCCUCUGACGUUAGCGGCGGACGGGUGAGUAACACGUGGAUAACCUACCUAUAAGACUGGGAUAACUUCGGGAAACCGGAGCUAAUACCGGAUAAUAUAUUGAACCGCAUGGUUCAAUAGUGAAAGACGGUUUUGCUGUCACUUAUAGAUGGAUCCGCGCCGCAUUAGCUAGUUGGUAAGGUAACGGCUUACCAAGGCAACGAUGCGUAGCCGACCUGAGAGCGCGGGCGGGCAGCAGUGAGGUGAGACACGGGCGAGACUAGUGCUGGGGGCCGCAGAAGGGCAUUGUACGCAAUGGGCGGAAGCAUGAAGAAGCAAGGCAGCGAGAAAGAUAAAGGUGUUAGUAUCGUAUGACGCUGCUAAUGGUGAAGAACAAAAGGGCACGUCACAAUGCCCGUCAGGAGGGGGCCGAAUCAGAAAGACCAGCAUCGCUACGAG